RNAcentral lists this ribosomal RNA (482 nucleotides) under uncultured bacterium. Its description in RNAcentral is "partial 16S ribosomal RNA". It matches the Rfam family "Bacterial small subunit ribosomal RNA", at positions 30 to 507 of the family's 1533-position model. The record is from RNAcentral.
AUUGAACGCUGGCGGCAUGCCUUACACAUGCAAGUCGAACGGUAACAGGUCUUCGGAUGCUGACGAGUGGCGCACGGGUGAGUAAUACAUCGGAACGUGCCCGAUCGUGGGGGAUAACGAGGCGAAAGCUUUGCUAAUACCGCAUACGAUCUACGGAUGAAAGCGGGGGAUCUUCGGACCUCGCGCGGACGGAGCGGCCGAUGGCAGAUUAGGUAGUUGGUGGGAUAAAAGCUUACCAAGCCGACGAUCUGUAGCUGGUCUGAGAGGAUGAUCAGCCACACUGGGACUGAGACACGGCCCAGACUCCUACGGGAGGCAGCAGUGGGGAAUUUUGGACAAUGGGCGAAAGCCUGAUUCAGCCAUGCCGCGUGCAGGAUGAAGGCCUUCGGGUUGUAAACUGCUUUUGUACGGAACGAAAAGCCUCUUUCUAAUAAAGAGGGGUCAUGACGGUACCGUAAGAAUAAGCACCGGCUAACUACGUG